This is a non-coding RNA of Aegilops tauschii subsp. strangulata, 1607 nucleotides long. Lineage: Eukaryota; Viridiplantae; Streptophyta; Magnoliopsida; Poales; Poaceae. The record is from RefSeq and is a predicted model, not a curated record.
ACCGCGCCUACGAGGAGGCCCUUGCCGAGUGCGAGCGCGGGCUCAGGAUCGACGACCCCUCCGACCCGGAGCCCGACUCGCUCAGGCUACCCGCUCCCGACCCCGACCAGCUCCGGGCCGAGCUCCGCAACCUCGUCCAGAAGGCCAAUCUCGCAUCCAUAUCCACCUGGGUCAAGAACCUCGCGCCCGGAUCCGGCCGCGGGACGUCCGGCCACUCCGGAUCCGGUCUCCUCCUCGCCGCACGGGCCUCCUCCUUGCCGGAGUGACGCCCCUCGUCGGAGCAGCGCCGGCCAAGCCCAUCGGCCACCAGGUUCGUGGCCGAUGCUAUGAGGUAAUGGAUAAUGCUGGAUAAUGCUGGAUCGUCGGCACAUUCCCCGGCUCUAGUAAGGCGAUUCGGCCCUCCGGUAAGGCGAUUCCGUGGCUCCUGUGCGCUAAGAUUGGCGGGAUUUUCGCUGGAGUCUACUCUGAUUUUCUCUCUUAAGUUUCAGGGCAUGGAGCGUCGCGGGUUGCUCAAGGCGGCUCUACUGGCGUGCUUGCUCGUCGUUUGCUCCGGGAGAGGAUAACAACAGUGGAGUGACUUGCAGGUGACUCAUGUGGAAUUUUGUUCAGUAAGAUCGACUUGACGCCUCAUAUUUUAAUUUGGAAAGCGGGACUUGGUUUUAUGUAUUUAGUGGUUCUACAAAUGGUUCUGCUAUGGUUGACAUCACAAUUCUUCUAAUGAGUAGGUAAUUUUAACACCCUCUACUAUUUUAUUGGUGUUCAGUUCUGUAAUACCCAGUUGCGUUGGCUGGCAAGUAUUAUUAGUUUAUAUGAGCCUGUUCAUUUAUACUGAUGUAACUGAUCUGAAAGGAUUGGAGUAGUUUGGAAAAAUCAACUUAAAUGGUGACUCCACAUAUUUUCACAAGGAGGUUAUUACACGCAAUAAAAAGUUCCUCUUAGAGCAUUGCCUUCAGUUCCCCCCUUCUACCAUAUAGUAGUACUGAUUAUAUGUGUCAUCUCGGUAUUAAUUUAGUUGCGACUUUUGCGUAUGCCUUGAGAGUUUUGUAUUUUUCUUCUCAAUUGGUUUCGUUUAGUUACAGCAGUAUGCCAAAUAAUCCAAAAAUAAUUAAUUAAAUCAUUGGACCGGCCGGAUAUAAAGAGCAUGAUUUAUACCAUCAAAUGAACAUAUAUUUUUAUAUGAAAUGAAGGCACAAUCUUAAAUCUGUGGGUGCAUGCACUGCUUCCUGCCUCUGUGCUCGCAAUUUAAAUGCAGUAUAUUUUACUCACUAAUACAUCUUGAAAAAUCUAAAAAGUAUAUUUUACUCACUAAUACAUCCUACAACAUUGCAUUUCACCAAGUGAAAUGCUACAUUUCUAUUCCUAACCCAUUCUCUCUUCCUUAGUGUUUUUGUUAUGCAGGUUGGAAGAAAAGAAGAAGAUCCAGAGAAGAUCUUAGUAAUAAGAUAGUUUUGACUUUGUGAAACUUGCUACCUAUCGAUGAAAUUGUGUAAUAUUGAUGAAACUAUGUAUAUGUAUUGACGAAACUUGCUACUAUUGGUAACAUGUGUUGGAUAUGUGUUGGAUAUAUGUGUGUUCAUGACUAUUGGUAAUAUGUGUUGGAUAUGCUA